Long non-coding RNA from Acinonyx jubatus (cheetah), 4370 nucleotides. RefSeq lists it as uncharacterized. The transcript has 3 exons. The record is from RefSeq and is a predicted model, not a curated record. NCBI's taxonomy places the organism in Eukaryota, Metazoa, Chordata, Mammalia, Carnivora, Felidae.
UCUUACAUCUAUUUGGGUUAGCGAGUCACUAGCAUUUUAGAAUGUGGGGCUCCUCAACUGUAAAAAUGGAGACAAUAAUAUAUACUACCUCUCUGGGCUCUUGUCAUAGUUACAUUAGAAAAAGAUGUGAAUGCACUUUUGAACCAAGAAACAUAGCAGUACAGUUGUGGCAGAUUGUUACAAUACUUGUCCUAGAUGAAUCACACCUCACUGUGUCCACUGCCCUUUAAAGUGGGACUGCCAUGCUUCCCAUCAAGAGAUACUGUUUCCUCACCCUUAGACUGGAGUUGAACCCCUAUCUUAUUUUUAUCAAGAGAAUGUAGUGGGAGAGGCAUGUAACUUGUUGGCUAGCCUUCCUAUAUAGCCCUCUUCAUGCUCAGAGACCACCAUAAUCUAAAGAAGCUCAGGAGGUGAGACUCCAUGAAGAGAGGAGCCCAGCUGCCCCAGUCUCUAGCGAUCCCAGCUGAGGCCUUGAUGAGUUCCGCUGGAGAACCCUCCCUGCCUCAGAGAGCAUAUCUGCUGGCUACAGUCACAUCACUGAGCCAGCUACACACAGUUGCCAGCUUCUCUUGCAGUUCUAUGUGGCCCUGUGAUCCAGCUCCACCCGAUAUAAGUAUGUUACUUCCGGGACCAACCAAAGGAAUUCUGGGAUCUCAAACUUUUGAAAACCAACAGCCAUACAACACUGCAACAAUCAUCAUAGGUCUGUUUUACAAAUGGUUAACCGGUAGAAGUGAAUCAAUGAGCCAGACUGCAGCAUACUCUUGAGUCAUUUACACCUGCCACCAGAGAAGUUUUAUUUUUCACACAUGUUAUGCUCAUCAUCCAUAAGACCAAAGACCUACCAACCACAGGUUCAAAAUCUCAGCUCUGCAAAGAAAAAAGAGUAAUUGUAUCAAUCUACUAAAUGAUACUCCAAAGUAGAUAACCGUGGUCUUUUAUGGAUUUCUUUGCCAUUCUUGACAGGAAGUGGUAGCUAUUUUUAAUCAUACAAACUUAAAGACUAAAACAGAAGCUAUUAGAUUUUCCAAGGAGGAAAGCCCCCUUCUGAAGAGAACAAUACAGUUUCUUUCUUGUCAUCUUAUGGGUUUCAUUCCAUUCUCAAAUACAUCCUGAGGAAAGAUGAACUGACAGUCACCAGAAGCAAGGUCAUACCUUUUAGAUCACCAAUUUGCUUUAGGGGACCUAGAAGCCCAUCUUGGAAUCAUCUCUCUUGCCCACCUGUGUGCCUGCCUUACCAGCCAGAGAUGGUCUCCAGGCAGAGGCUUCCUUCAUUCGGCAACCAUCCUGAGCACCCACUAUGUGUGCAUGCUAGAAAUACAGUGAUAUACAAAGGAGUCUCAGUUCCUGUUCGUGAAAUGAGUGUAUAGUGUAGUAGGGAGACACAGAUAUUUUAAAAGGUAAUUACACAUGUCUUACCAUCAAAAAUAGCAAGCUAGCUGAUUUGGACAAGACUUCUUACUGAAAAGAACUAAGAAAUUGGUCAAAAUGCAUUCAAAGGAAUAUUAGUGUGAAUUAGAGCUGAAAAUACAGUGAAGGAAGAUGAGAACCUGCAAGCUGCUUCUGCACUGAGAGCAUUUGCUGAUUUGGAAAAAAAUUCAACUCUCCUUCAAACAGCCUCAGUGAGCAAGGAGGACGGAAAUAAAAACCCAGAGUCUGCAAACAGUGAAGGGUCUGACAUGAGAUCCUCCCCAAAUAAUAAGCUGGAACACGAAAGGGCUACAGGGCAAGGGUGAACUGGAAAGGUAUCACUUCUUUCUUUAAAUUGCCUAAGUUCUGCAGAAAACAGUCUCAAAUUUCAUCUCUCCAAUAUUAAAGUGGCCUCCAGGUAAAAGGCAAAAGCCAAAGGAAGUCUUAUCUGGAGGAAGAUACUUUCACCGUAGACCUCUAUAAAUUUCUGUUCUUUCAGGGAAAGAGGAAGACAUAUGCUUAGAUUUAUGGUUGUUUCAGGGGAGCUGGUGAAAUGUAGCUCAAGACUUUUGGAAUAGUUCAGGAGAGGAAUGGGAGAAGAAACUAAAGCGAGUGAAAUAAAACAACACUGAGUAGUAAGAAGAGCCCAAGUGAUCCUUGAGCCAGAGAUUGUAACAUUGUCUAUGAUCCUUCUGGGCAAUGUAUGCUUCCCGGACCUUCGUCAUCAGCACCAUCUGAGAGAUUAUGGGAAAUAGACUCUCAAGCCUGACCCCAGACCUACGGAAUCGGAAUCUGCAUUUUAACAAAAUCCCUAGGUGAUUCGUAUGCACAUUAAAGUUUGAAAUAAUGAAUGGGAAUAAUGAAACCUGAUCUAGAUCAGUGAGAAUGGGAAAAGAGAAUGACUGUUAGAUAUGUAGCUGCUGCCCAUUACGAUGUUAGAGGCCAUGGGUUGGCUAACAGACUCUGUAGUUUCUAACUUAAGCACCAGAAAGAUGAUGCUUCAACAGGCUUUCAAACCCCAUGGCAUGCACAAAGCCAUUAGGAAGGCAAAUGGUAUUACACAAUUUUUUUUGUCCCACUUGUUGCUUUGGCUUAGAGAAAAUGGACAGUUAGAGUUUCCAUGUGAUUUGAGUGGAAGUGUAAUUGGAAUUCAGUAUCUUGAGUCUGGAACCACUAAUUGUUCUGCUGAGCAUAAUAUUGGACAAAGUAUUUUCCAAGUGUGAUGAGCAAAACUAAAUCCAAAAAAAAAAAAAAAUCAACUUUCCAGGAGAUGGUUGGAGUCAGCCAGCCUCUGCUCCACUGUAACCAUGUGGGAUAAAAAAAAAAGGCAUGAUGAAAAAUGCAGAUAUGUCAGAGGAUGUGCAACAGGACUUGCCAGAGCAAUACAGCACAGACGAUCUUGCAACCUAUGCGGAGAUGGAGUUUGACAAGAAGUACAUCCCAUUCUGGCAGUGCACCAUGAGGAGAACUGGAGAGAGUAAGUGAUACACGAAACCAAAUACUGUAUCUGCUUCUACCUGGGACAAGUGGUCAUUCACCUGUUCAAACCUAGUAAAAUGCUUGGACUGCGUCAUGUUUGUUGUGAUCAAUCUAAAAUAAGGACUGCAGCCUAAAUUCCAAAUACCAGAGAAUGAAAUCAUCAUCCUUGCUAAGAAAACACUUUGACCUCUGGACCUUUAUUAUGUUGCUUUGUAGAGGGCAUUCUCUGUACUAGUUUGUUUUUUUUUUCCCCCUCUCUCUCUUUCCUUUUUUUUUUUUCAUACUAGUUUGUUAUAGUUAUAAAACAAUUAGCAAAAUAAGUAAACAAACAAAAAAUCCCCCCCCAGAAACAAAAAACCAAAGAAACACUAAUCUGAAAGAUAUAUGCACGCCUGUGUUUAUUGCAUCAUUAUUUACAAUAGCCAAGAUAUGGAAGCAAGCCAAGUGUCCAUUAAUAGAUGAACGGAUAAAGAAGAUGUAAUGCGCACACACACACACACACACACACACACACACAAUGGAAUAUUUCUCAGCCAUAAAAAGAAUGAGAUCUUGCCAUUUGCGACAACAUGAAUGGACCUAGAGGGUAUUAUGCUAAGUGAGAUAAGGGAAGACAAAUACCAUAGGAUUUUGCUUAUAUGUAGAAUUAAAAAAAAAAUAAAUGAGCAAAAAAAGAAACAAACAAAAACAAUUUGGACUAUUAAAUACAGAGAACAAACUGAUGGGUGCCCUGGAGAAGGUGGGGAGGGAGAUGGGUAAAAUAGAGGCAAUUAACAAGUACAAGCUUCCAGUUAUAAAUUAAAAAAUUAAGCACAGAGAUGAAAAGUACAGGAUAGGGAAUCUAGUUAAUUUUUAAAAAUUAGCCAUAUUUUAAAAAUUAGAGGCAUUCCUGGGUAGCUCAGUCUAUUUAGUUUCCAACUCUUGAUUUUGGCUCAGGUCAUGAUCUCAUGGCUCGGUUGGUGGGUUCAAGCCCCACUUGGGGCUCUGCACUGACAGUGCUCCUCCGGUAGUGACUAACAUUACAAGCCAGUUACUGGAAGCUAAAUGUAGCCCAUAUUCACAUAGUAAUCUGUACGUGCUAUUCUUUUUUUAGUUGGAAGAUUUUCUAUUAAAAAAUUUUAGAUGUCAUGCUUCCUUGGAAAAUUGAAACUGACCGCCCUGAGCCCAUUCAUGCUAGGCAAUAGUCGACUGGAGUAGCAGCUUUCUCCAUUAGGUCUGCUCCCACCUGACUUCUUAGUUUACGUUCCCUGCCUCCUGUAGACAUUUUGUGUUUGACCACGCCACAGUCUCCAUUUCUCCACUAGAGGAGACACUAUCUUUCUACCAAUUAGAGAUAACUAAUGAGGGCUUAUAAAAUUUGUAACUGAUUGUAGACCUAUCAACAGAACUACAUUUUUAAAAGAUGGACAGUGAGAUGUGCAGUAUGUUGAGGUUUCACCCACAUUUUCUUCUUUGCAUCUCCACUGAUUCCUUUGAGCUCA